CCAAUAGCGUAUAUUAAAGUUGUUGCAGUUAAAAAGCUCGUAGUUGAAUUUCGGAAUCUGUCCAUUGGUCGGGCUUCACUGUCCGUACUGGUGUGGUGGGUUCUUACCUUCUGAAUAACCAGCAUGCCAUUUAUUUGGUGCGUUGGGGAAGCAGGACUAUUACCUUGAAAAAAUUAGAGUGCUCAAAGCAGGCUAGUGCCUGAAUGCAUUAGCAUGGAAUAAUAAAAUAGGACGGCAUGGUUCUAUUUUGUUGGUUUCUAGGAUCACCGUAAUGAUUAAUAGGGAUAGUUGGGGGCAUUAGUAUUCAAUUGUCAGAGGUGAAAUUCUUGGAUUUAUUGAAGACUAACUUCUGCGAAAGCAUUUGCCAAGGAUGUUUUCAUUAAUCAAGAACGAAAGUUAGGGGAUCGAAGACGAUCAGAUACCGUCGUAGUCUUAACCAUAAACUAUGCCGACUAGGGAUCGGACGAUGUUAAUUUUUUAAUGACUCGUUCGGCGCCUUACG
Molecule: ribosomal RNA, 502 nt
Filed under: uncultured Glomeromycotina
Lineage: Eukaryota; Fungi; Glomeromycota
Description: partial small subunit ribosomal RNA
Rfam family: Eukaryotic small subunit ribosomal RNA
Source: RNAcentral